CUCAAGCAGAGUCAGAAAAACGAAAGGCCAUUGAGGAGAACCUGGAGCAACUGAGAAAGCACAGAAGAUCCAUCAAGGAGGUAGCCGAACAUCUGCUCAGGGAUGCUGAUAAGUUGGCAGACCAGGCUGAAGCCAAGCAAGCAGGCAGCAAGAUGGCGGAGCUAAUAGCAAAAUCGAAUGCCUUUAGAAGGAGCCACAAGGAAAAGAUGGCUGAACUCAUUAAACUGGACGAACAGAUUGCUGCCAAAAGAGCUGAGCUCCAAAAGCUGUAGGAUCUAUUGAAAUGCACACAGGCACACCCACAGACGAAUGCAGGCACACGCACACACAAACACACACACACGUACACCCCUCACAGUUAUUGUUUUAAAUGGUUCUUAAAUUAAUGACUUAAAUACAGUGUAGACAGGCUGUAGGUUACUUUGGGAAAAAACAUCCAUACAAAGGCGCACCCACAGACGUGUGCAUGUGCAUACAUGCACUCCUCACACAGUUAUUGUGUUUAAAUAUGGUGAAUGUUAUGUUGAAGCAGAUCUUUGAAAGCUGUUGUCCUCAGAGCAUAUUGUUCAUUAAAGUUAUUUAUUUGAU
Long non-coding RNA from Eleginops maclovinus (Patagonian blennie), 588 nucleotides. RefSeq lists it as uncharacterized. NCBI's taxonomy places the organism in Eukaryota, Metazoa, Chordata, Actinopteri, Perciformes, Eleginopidae. The transcript is spliced from 2 exons. The record is from RefSeq and is a predicted model, not a curated record.